GAUCAUGGCUCAGGAUGAACGCUGGCGGCGUGCUUAACACAUUCAAGUCGAACGAAGAAGAUCGGAGCUUGCUCCGAUCGGAUUAGUGGCGGACGGGUGAGUAACGCGUGAGUAACCUGCCUGCGAGAGGGGGAUAACGAACGGGAAACUGUUGCUAAUACCGCAUAACGCAUCGAUUCCGCAUGGAGAUGAUGCCAAAGGGAAACCGCUUGCAGAUGGACUCGCGU
RNAcentral lists this ribosomal RNA (227 nucleotides) under uncultured bacterium. RNAcentral's name for it is "partial 16S ribosomal RNA". It matches the Rfam family "Bacterial small subunit ribosomal RNA", at positions 15 to 236 of the family's 1533-position model. The record is from RNAcentral.